GCCACUGUGGCGGAAUUGGCAGACGCGCAGCGUUCAGGUCGCUGUUUGGUUUAUCCAAGUGCAGGUUCGACCCCUGUCAGUGGCA
This 85-nucleotide transfer RNA is filed under the name Lactobacillus sp. Its description in RNAcentral is "tRNA-Leu". It matches the Rfam family "tRNA". Rfam says of the family: Transfer RNA (tRNA) molecules are approximately 80 nucleotides in length. Their secondary structure includes four short double-helical elements and three loops (D, anti-codon, and T loops). Further hydrogen bonds mediate the characteristic L-shaped molecular structure. tRNAs have two regions of fundamental functional importance: the anti-codon, which is responsible for specific mRNA codon recognition, and the 3' end, to which the tRNAs corresponding amino acid is attached (by aminoacyl-tRNA synthetases). tRNAs cope with the degeneracy of the genetic code in two manners: having more than one tRNA (with a specific anti-codon) for a particular amino acid; and 'wobble' base-pairing, i.e. permitting non-standard base-pairing at the 3rd anti-codon position. Lineage: Bacteria; Bacillati; Bacillota; Bacilli; Lactobacillales; Lactobacillaceae. RNAcentral also lists the same sequence under 1 other name. The record is from RNAcentral.